Molecule: transfer RNA, 68 nt
Filed under: Myripristis berndti (blotcheye soldierfish)
Lineage: Eukaryota; Metazoa; Chordata; Actinopteri; Holocentriformes; Holocentridae
Also listed under: 3 other names
Description: tRNA-Tyr
Rfam family: tRNA
About the family: Transfer RNA (tRNA) molecules are approximately 80 nucleotides in length.
Source: RNAcentral
GGUAAGAUGGCUGAGUUAGGCGGUGGAUUGUAGCCCCACAUACAGAGGUUUGAGCCCUCUUCUUACCA